RNAcentral lists this ribosomal RNA (460 nucleotides) under uncultured bacterium. RNAcentral's name for it is "bacterial SSU rRNA". It matches the Rfam family "Bacterial small subunit ribosomal RNA", at positions 29 to 524 of the family's 1533-position model. The record is from RNAcentral.
AACGAACGCUGGCGGCAUGCCUAACACAUGCAAGUCGAACGGGAUCCUGGCUUCGGCCAGGUGAGAGUGGCGGACGGGUGAGUAACGCGUGGGAACCUGCCCAUUGGUCUGGGAUAACUGCGGGAAACUGCAGCUAAUACCGGAUGUACCCGAGAGGGGAAAGAUUUAUCGCCGAUGGAGGGGCCCGCGUCAGAUUAGGUAGUUGGUGAGGUAACGGCUCACCAAGCCUACGAUCUGUAGCUGGUCUGAGAGGAUGAUCAGCCACACUGGGACUGAGAUACGGCCCAGACUCCUACGGGAGGCAGCAGUGGGGAAUAUUGGACAAUGGGCGAAAGCCUGAUCCAGCCAUGCCGCGUGAAUGAUGAAGGCCUUAGGGUUGUAAAAUUCUUUUGCAGGGGAAGAUAAUGACGGUACCCUGCGAAUAAGCUCCGGCUAACUUCGUGCCAGCAGCCGCGGUAAU